Molecule: transfer RNA, 72 nt
Filed under: archaeon
Lineage: Archaea
Description: tRNA-Ala
Rfam family: tRNA
About the family: Transfer RNA (tRNA) molecules are approximately 80 nucleotides in length. Their secondary structure includes four short double-helical elements and three loops (D, anti-codon, and T loops).
Source: RNAcentral
CGGCUUGUGGUCUAGUGGUAUGACGCUUCCUUAGCAUGGAAGAGGUUUCGGGUUCGAUUCCCGACUAGUCCU